UACAGGGGGUGCAAACGUUGCUCGGAAUCACUGGGCGUAAAGCGCACGUAGGCGGAUUGCUAAGUCAGGGGUGAAAUCCUGGAGCUCAACUCCAGAACUGCCUUUGAUACUGGCGAUCUUGAGUCCGGGAGAGGUGAGUGGAACUGCGAGUGUAGAGGUGAAAUUCGUAGAUAUUCGCAAGAACACCAGUGGCGAAGGCGGCUCACUGGCCCGGUACUGACGCUGAGGUGCGAAAGCGUGGGGAGCAAACAGG
RNAcentral lists this ribosomal RNA (253 nucleotides) under uncultured bacterium. RNAcentral describes it as "partial 16S ribosomal RNA". It matches the Rfam family "Bacterial small subunit ribosomal RNA", at positions 524 to 776 of the family's 1533-position model. The record is from RNAcentral.